Molecule: unclassified non-coding RNA, 336 nt
Filed under: uncultured Gemmatimonadaceae bacterium
Lineage: Bacteria; Pseudomonadati; Gemmatimonadota; Gemmatimonadia; Gemmatimonadales; Gemmatimonadaceae
Description: contains 16S-23S intergenic spacer region
Source: RNAcentral
UCCGGUUUGGCACCGGCAGUCUUCCUAGAGUCCCCGCCAUUACGCGCUGGCAACUAAGAACAGGGGUUGCGCUCGUUGCGGGACUUAACCCAACAUCUCACGACACGAGCUGCCGUAUUUCUACGACAUUCCUAUGCACGUCAAGCCUAGGUAAGGUUCUUCGCGUUGCGUCGAAUUAAACCACAUGCUCCACCGCUUGUGCGGGCCCCCGUCAAUUCCUUUGAGUUUCAGCCUUGCGGCCGUACUCCCCAGGCGGGGCACUUACUGCGUUAGCGACGGCACCGGGAGGGUCGCUCCCCCCGACGCCUAGUGCCCAUCGUUUACGGCGUGGACUAC